Molecule: ribosomal RNA, 497 nt
Filed under: uncultured bacterium
Lineage: Bacteria
Description: partial 16S ribosomal RNA
Rfam family: Bacterial small subunit ribosomal RNA
Source: RNAcentral
GAUGAACGCUGGCGGCGUGCCUAAUACAUGCAAGUCGAGCGAACAGACGAGGAGCUUGCUCCUCUGACGUUAGCGGCGGACGGGUGAGUAACACGUGGAUCACCUACCUAUAAGUCUGGGAUAACUUCGGGAAACCGGAGCUAAUACCGGAUAAUAUAUUGAACCGCAUGGUUCAAUAGUGAAUGACGGUUUUGCUGUCACUUAUAGCUGAAUCCGCGCCGCAUUAGCUAGUUGGUAAGGUAACGGCUUACCAAGGCAACGAUGCGUAGCCGAGCUGAGAGGGUGAUCGGCCACACUGGAACUGAGACACGGUCCAGACUCCUACGGGAGGCAGCAGUAGGGAAUCUUCCGCAAUGGGCGAAAGCUUGACGGAGCAACGCCGCGUGAGUGAUGAAGGUCUUCGGAUCGUAAAACUCUGUUAUUAGGGAAGAACAAAUGUGUAAGUAACUAUGCACGUCUUGACGGUACCUAAUCAGAAAGCCACGGCUAACUACGUG